AAAUUUUCGGGUAUUUGUCGCUUAAAUCGUGGCAAGUGAGCUUCAGACUGAGGUCACGACUUCACGAGCCCAUCCUAUUGUCCUUGCCUCCAAUCCCUGAAUCCAGAAAAGACAGUGGGGUUUCGGUCCAAGAUUGCCGAGGACGAUGAGCAGCUUGGUGGUGCAGCUGCGAACGGCUGCGAUCAUCAGCAGAAGGCACGGACACUAGGAAAUAUGCUUCAACAAGUGCAUCAGCUCACUAAGAUGACUGACACAUCAGCAGCUGAAGCAAGGGCAGGAAAGGAUAUACAAGGUAUACCAUGGGAGAGGUUACAAAUUACCAGGAAGGAUUACAGAAAAGCUAGGUUGGAACAGUACAAGAACUAUGAAAACUUCCCUCAA
This is a long non-coding RNA of Hordeum vulgare subsp. vulgare (domesticated barley), 381 nucleotides long. RefSeq lists it as uncharacterized. NCBI's taxonomy places the organism in Eukaryota, Viridiplantae, Streptophyta, Magnoliopsida, Poales, Poaceae. The record is from RefSeq and is a predicted model, not a curated record. The transcript is spliced from 3 exons.